GGUUUGAAUGUGAAGUGUUCUUCUUGACCGUUUAUGUUGAACUUGAUUUCUCCUUUUCCGACAUCAAUGUGGGCAUUGGCAGUGCUCAGAAAUGGCCUUCCAAGGAUGAUGGACACUUUCGAGUCAGGACUCAUGUCCAGUACUACGAAGUCUUCUGGCACCAGGAAAUCUCUGAUCUUGACUGGAAUGUUCUCGGCGAUGCCCAGCGGGUGUCGAACCGAUUGAUCCGCUAGUUGUAGACACAUUGAUGUUGGUUCUAAGGUUGUAUGAUUAAGCUUUUUGUAGACUGAUGCUGGCAUCACACUGACACUUGCUCCGAGAUCACAAAGUGCAUUGUUGAAGUGUUGGUUUCCGAUCGAGCAAUCGAUAGUGGGACAUCCGGGAUCUUCCUUCUUCUUUGGUGGUUUGUUGAGGAUGGCCGCACUACAUUCUUCUGUCAGCUUGAUAACCUCAGUGGUGGGCAGUGGUCUCUUCUUGUUUAGAAUAUCUCUGAUGUACUUUGCAUAUGUAGGUACCUGUAUGGCAUCGAGCAGAGGUAUGUUGACAUAUAAUUUCUGA
RNAcentral lists this long non-coding RNA (558 nucleotides) under Sorghum bicolor (sorghum). Its description in RNAcentral is "long non-coding RNA (SBIC_LNC014488)". The record is from RNAcentral. Lineage: Eukaryota; Viridiplantae; Streptophyta; Magnoliopsida; Poales; Poaceae.